GGCGACGCCGAUCUGGUCGAGAUUGCGCACCAGAUUGCCGUAGCAGCUCGCCAGCGAGCGCGGCAGCGAUUCAUUCAGGAUCAGCAGGUCGGCGAUCAGCCACGGUUUCAGCGUCUCGCGAUACACCCAGUGAUAGGCGGGGGGCGCCGAGACCGACCGCAGGAUNGCAGGAUCGAUGUCCACUGAUAGUAGUCGAGCGGGCCGCCGACAUGUUCUUCUUCGGGCAG
Molecule: unclassified non-coding RNA, 227 nt
Filed under: Hevea brasiliensis (rubber tree)
Lineage: Eukaryota; Viridiplantae; Streptophyta; Magnoliopsida; Malpighiales; Euphorbiaceae
Source: RNAcentral